This 434-nucleotide ribosomal RNA is filed under the name uncultured bacterium. RNAcentral's name for it is "partial 16S ribosomal RNA". It matches the Rfam family "Bacterial small subunit ribosomal RNA", at positions 29 to 507 of the family's 1533-position model. The record is from RNAcentral.
AGCGAACGCUGGCGGCAGGCCUAACACAUGCAAGUCGAACGAACCUUUCGGGGUUAGUGGCGGACGGGUGAGUAACACGUGGGAACGUGCCUUUAGGUUCGGAAUAACUCAUGGAAACUUGUGCUAAUACCGAAUGUGCCCUUCGGGGGAAAGAUUUAUCGCCUUUAGAGCGGCCCGCGUCUGAUUAGCUAGUUGGUUGAGGUAAUGGCUCACCAAGGCGACGAUCAGUAGCUGGUCUGAGAGGAUGAUCAGCCACAUUGGGACUGAGACACGGCCCAAACUCCUACGGGAGGCAGCAGUGGGGAAUCUUGCGCAAUGGGCGAAAGCCUGACGCAGCCAUGCCGCGUGAAUGAUGAAGGUCUUAGGAUUGUAAAAUUCUUUCACCGGGGACGAUAAUGACGGUACCCGGAGAAGAAGCCCCGGCUAACUUCGUG